This 333-nucleotide ribosomal RNA is filed under the name Triticum aestivum (bread wheat). Its description in RNAcentral is "partial small subunit ribosomal RNA". The record is from RNAcentral. Lineage: Eukaryota; Viridiplantae; Streptophyta; Magnoliopsida; Poales; Poaceae.
AUGAUGAAUUCAACACAAAAUUCUGCUGGUAGGAGACCAAGUACAAUACAUCGUCAACUUGGUAAUGAUAUUUAUGUUCACUUCAAUUUAUGCCAUAGCAGCAAAGGAACUCAAGAACAAUCUGACACUCACGUGUCUGCUAAUGACAUGUGUGCACCGGAUGAAUGGCCGUCCCAUGCUCGCCGCAACCAUGCACAGCUGCAGAAUGAAAGUGAUGGACAGAAGAAGAAAGGGCGAGGUGUUCUAAAAGGUUUUAAAUCAAGCAAGAAGCGUUUUGCCAAUGGAUUUGCAAAGCUAAUAUUGCAUUCUCUGAAAAUUUGGGUGGUACAGUAG